GACGAACGCUGGCGGCGUGCCCUAAUACAUGCAAGUAGAACGCUGAAGGGAGAGCUUGCUCUUCUGGAUGAGUUGCGAACGGGUGAGUAACGCGUAGGUAACCUCCCUGGUAGCGGGGGAUAACUAUUGGAAACGAUAGCUAAUACCGCAUAAUAGUAGAUGUUGCAUGACAUUUGCUUGAAAGGUGCAAUUGCAUCACUACCAGAUGGACCUGCGUUGUAUUAGCUAGUUGGUGGGGUAACGGCUCACUAAGGCGACGAUACAUAGCCGCCCUGAGAGGGUGAUCGGCCACACUGGGACUGAGACACGGCCCAGCACUCCUACGGGAGGACACGCAGUAGGGAAUCUUCGGCAAUGGACGGAAGUCUGACCGAGCAACGCCGCGUGAGUGAAGAAGGUUUUCGGAUCGUAAAGCUCUGUUGUAAGAGAAGAACGAGUGUGAGAGUGGAAAGUUCACACGG
RNAcentral lists this ribosomal RNA (461 nucleotides) under Streptococcus sp. oral taxon 064. RNAcentral's name for it is "bacterial SSU rRNA". It matches the Rfam family "Bacterial small subunit ribosomal RNA", at positions 28 to 471 of the family's 1533-position model. Lineage: Bacteria; Bacillati; Bacillota; Bacilli; Lactobacillales; Streptococcaceae. The record is from RNAcentral.